AGAGUUUGAUCCUGGCUCAGGAUGAACGCUAGCGGCAGGCCUAAUACAUGCAAGACGAACGGUAUAUUGAGUAGCAAUACUUGAUUGAGAGUGUCGUAAGGGUGCGUAACACGUAUGCAAUCUACCCUCAACAGGAGUAUAGCUCGGGGAAACUCGGAUUAACCCUCCAUAAGAUCAUGGUCCGGCAUCGGACAGUGAUAAAAACUACGGUGGUUGAGGAUGAGCAUGCGCAUGAUUAGUUAGUUGGAGGUGUAACGGACCCCCAAGACGAUGAUCAUUAGGGGAACUGAGAGGUUGAUCCCCCACACUGGCACUGAGAUACGGGCCAGACUCCUACGGGAGGCAGCAGUAGGGAAUAUUGGUCAAUGGGUGAGAGCCUGAACCAGCCAUGCCGCGUGCAGGAAGACGGCCUUCUGGGUUGUAAACUGCUUUUAUCUGGGGAUAAAAUGAUCGUGCGCGAUUAAUUGAAGGUACCAGAUGAAUAAGCACCGGCUAACUACGUGCCAGCAGCCGCGGUAAUACGUAGGGUGCAAGCGUUGUCCGGAUUUAUUGGGUUUAAAGGGUGCGUAGGCGGUCUAUUAAGUCAGUGGUGAAAUCCAACAGCUCAACUGUUGAUGUGCCAAUGAUACUGAUGGACUUGAGUACAGACGAGGUAGGCGGAAUUGACAGUGUAGCGGUGAAAUGCAUAGAUAUUGUCAAGAACACCGAUAGCGAAGGCAGCUUGCUAGCCUGUAACUGACGCUGAUGCACGAAAGUGUGGGGAUCAAACAGGAUUAGAUACCCUGGUAGUCCACACUGUAAACGAUGAUUACUCGAUGUUGGCGAUACACAGUCAGCGUCUUAGCGAAAGCGAUAAGUAAUCCACCUGGGGAGUACGCUGGCAACAGUGAAACUCAAAGGAAUUGACGG
RNAcentral lists this ribosomal RNA (909 nucleotides) under uncultured bacterium. Its description in RNAcentral is "bacterial SSU rRNA". It matches the Rfam family "Bacterial small subunit ribosomal RNA", at positions 8 to 916 of the family's 1533-position model. The record is from RNAcentral.